Long non-coding RNA from Bicyclus anynana (squinting bush brown), 1342 nucleotides. RefSeq lists it as uncharacterized. The record is from RefSeq and is a predicted model, not a curated record. The transcript is spliced from 2 exons. NCBI's taxonomy places the organism in Eukaryota, Metazoa, Arthropoda, Insecta, Lepidoptera, Nymphalidae.
UUAAAGAGAAUUUAGAAAUUGAGCAAAGUUUUACUAAAUUAUAGUGAUCUUAGGAGCAAAGUUUACUUCGUUUAUGUUAUUGUUAAUCAAAAAUAUAAAAGAAAACUACCUCUAUCUAAUUUUGUCGAUGUCCAUUUCUUAAGAAGUUUCUCAUUAAAACAACCCUUAACUCAGGCAAGGCAGGGCUAAGGUGGUUAGCGUAACUACAAGUGGUUAACUUACAGUUAGCCAACUGAAGAACAAUCAACAAUGCCCGAUUAAUAAGUGAUCGCGCUGCUUGUCUACUACAUGUCCCUGCACUAGUUAUAGCAGUAAUUUCUUUGUUGGGAAGUAUUUAGCACAUCCGGGCUGCGCAAAAGGAGAGGACUAAAUUGAUUAUUAUGAACAGACCAUUAUGAUGAACCACUGAUAUUGACUCAGAGACAUGAAGAUGAGUGCUUUGACAACAAGACUGACUAGCUGAGCCAGCUUAAGAAUUAUGUGGUGUGUGUGUGUCUAAUUCCAGGAGCUCUCUAUGUCAGCCAUCCAUCUAUAUUCUUACUCAUUUUUGUUAAUUAUAAAAUAAAUUUGAUUAUUUAGUGUGUAACUUCAUUGUACCUAUCCUGCUAGCUGUUAGAAAGAUAGCAUCUGUAAUAAUUUAUUUACACUAAAACAUAUUUAAAAAUAAACAUGCUUUAACAUUUAAGUAUGGCCAAUAUGUUGUCAAGUACAGUGGGCAGGGCUGAAUCCAUGAUUGAUGACUGAUCCAUGAUGAUGACUCGUUUUUCUGAUUUAAGAAAAUAUACUCAUCAUCAAAACAGUGUCUGCAAGUACUGUACAGGCUGACUGUUUGGAUGAGAAGUAUAUAUUUGAUUAUUUUUAAGCUUUGUGGUUUCAGGGUUUAAAAAAUGUCUAACUGAAAGUCUAUGAUUACUGUAUUUAUUAUUAUUAUAAUAAAUAAACUUAAAAAAAUCUUUUUUUUAUAAACUUCCAACCCCUAUUUCACCCUCAGAGAUGUCAUUUUCAUAAUUCUUAGAAUACUAGUAGUCAAGAUACUGUAAUAAAAAGAUACAGUUUGUGAGAUUGUAGGGGUUUUGUACCACUUUAGUACUAUUUGGAUACUUAUAUAUUUGGGUUUGAGUAAGGUAUGUCGUGUCCCGGGUAGCGGUUAUGGGUGUUAAAUAAUAGUAGGCUCUACUGAUAAAACACUUGUAUUGACUAUCAGUUACAACGGUUAGGUAACGACUGGCGACAAACCGCCCGUAUUGACUUCGUCAUAAUUACGAAAAUGCUUAAGUAGCAUUUUCAUUUACAAUCUAUGUGUGUGUGACCACCACAUCAUUCCACCCCCUUUUUUUUUUUU